This 187-nucleotide unclassified non-coding RNA is filed under the name rhizosphere metagenome. RNAcentral describes it as "partial ribosomal RNA internal transcribed spacer region". The record is from RNAcentral.
GAGUUCAUGCCCUUCGGGGUAGAUCUCCCACCCUUUGUAUACUAUACCUUUGUUUCUUUGGCGGGCCGCCUAGCUACUGGCUUCGGCUGGUAAGUGCCCGCCAGAGGAUCCAAAACCCUGAAUUACUAGUGUCGUCUGAGUAAAAUAUUUAAUAUCUAAAACUUUCAACAACGGAUCUCUUGGCUCU